CCUACGGGUGGCAGCAGUAGGGAAUCUUCCACAAUGGGCGAAAGCCUGAUGGAGCAACGCCGCGUGGGUGAAGAAGGUUUUCGGAUUGUAAACUCCUUUUGUUAGAGAAGAUAAUGACGGUAUCUAACGAAUAAGCACCGGCUAACUCCGUGCCAGCAGCCGCGGUAAUACGGAGGGUGCAAGCGUUACUCGGAAUCACUGGGCGUAAAGGGCGCGUAGGCGGGAUAGCAAGUCAGAUGUGAAAUCCUGUGGCUUAACCAUAGAAUUGCAUUUGAAACUGUUAGUCUAGAGUAUGGGAGAGGUAGGUGGAAUGCAUGGUGUAGGGGUAAAAUCCGUAGAGAUCAAGAGGAAUACUGAUUGCGAAGGCGACCUACUAGAACAUAACUGACGCUGAUGCGCGAAAGCGUGGGGAGCAAACAGGAUUAGAUACCCUUGUAGUC
Molecule: ribosomal RNA, 440 nt
Filed under: uncultured bacterium
Lineage: Bacteria
Description: partial 16S ribosomal RNA
Rfam family: Bacterial small subunit ribosomal RNA
Source: RNAcentral